UUUAUAGCCUCUGGCUAUAGGAAAUUGUUAGUGGCAGACGGGUGAGUAAUGCGUAGGAAUCUACCUAGUAGUACGGAAUAGCCAUUAGAAAUGGUGGGUAAUACUGUAUAAUCCCCGAGGGGGAAAGAUUUAUCGCUAUUAGAUGAGCCUACGUUAGACUAGCUAGUUGGUGAGGUAAUGGCUUACCAAGGCUAUGAUCUAUAGCUGGUCUGAGAGGACGAUCAGCCACACUGGAACUGAGAUACGGUCCAGACUCCUACGGGAGGCAGCAGUGGGGAAUAUUGGACAAUGGGCGAAAGCCUGAUCCAGCUAUGCCGCGUGAGUGAAGAAGGCCUUCGGGUUGUAAAACUCUUUCAAUAGGGAAGAUAAUGACGGUACCUAUAGAAGAAGUCCCGGCAAACUCUGUGCCAGCAGCCGCGGUAAUACGGAGGGGGCAAGCGUUGUUCGGAAUUAUUGGGCGUAAAGGGCACGUAGGUGGACUAGUAAGUUAAAAGUG
Molecule: ribosomal RNA, 496 nt
Filed under: Ehrlichia canis
Lineage: Bacteria; Pseudomonadati; Pseudomonadota; Alphaproteobacteria; Rickettsiales; Anaplasmataceae
Description: bacterial SSU rRNA
Rfam family: Bacterial small subunit ribosomal RNA
Source: RNAcentral